RNAcentral lists this transfer RNA (73 nucleotides) under Ailuropoda melanoleuca (giant panda). It matches the Rfam family "tRNA". Rfam says of the family: Transfer RNA (tRNA) molecules are approximately 80 nucleotides in length. Their secondary structure includes four short double-helical elements and three loops (D, anti-codon, and T loops). Lineage: Eukaryota; Metazoa; Chordata; Mammalia; Carnivora; Ursidae. The record is from Rfam by way of RNAcentral.
GCCUGACUGGCUCAGUCAGUAGAGCAUGUGACUCUUGAUCUCGGGGUUGUGAGUUUGAGCCCCACAUUAGGUA